Molecule: long non-coding RNA, 594 nt
Filed under: Ananas comosus (pineapple)
Lineage: Eukaryota; Viridiplantae; Streptophyta; Magnoliopsida; Poales; Bromeliaceae
Description: long non-coding RNA (ACOM_LNC018876)
Source: RNAcentral
CUAAAUUUUAACAAUAUAACUUAUUUAACUUAAUAACUUAAAUUAUUUUUUAGUAAAUAUAAUAUUUUAAAAAAUAAUUAAAACAAAAAAAAGUUAAAUUUAGAUAGUAUCAAGCAAACAUUAGGAGCUUAGUUUAAAAUCAAGGGAUAAUUGCCUAUAUACCCCUCAUGCGUCUGGAAAUAUCCGAUUUAUCUCUAUUUUUUUUUUUCUUUCUAAAAUACCCCUCAUAUGUUUCGCCGUUAUUCCAAAAUACCCCCGCAGUUAUUCCCUGUUAGUUUAACUCGAAUUAAACAUGGGUUAAAUAUAUACCAGAGUUAAAACCUAAUAAAAAUAUCUAUUUUGCCCCUACCUUAUUAAACUAUUUUCUUAAAUUAUCCUCUCUUUCUCUCCCAACUUAUUAUCUCUCUCCCAACUUGGGUCCCCGCCGCCCGUCGCCCGUCGCCGCUAGCGCCAGCAGCUCACCACCGCCGCCAACCUCGGCGCCGGCUCCUCCGCCUCCACCUUCGCCCCCAAGAAGCCUCGCCUCAUUCGCACAAAAAAAAUAGCCCGCGAGUCGCCGCUCUCGUCGUCGUCGUCGUCCUCCUCCUCCUCCGC